Molecule: long non-coding RNA, 1362 nt
Organism: Xyrauchen texanus (razorback sucker)
Lineage: Eukaryota; Metazoa; Chordata; Actinopteri; Cypriniformes; Catostomidae
Exons: 3
Source: RefSeq, a predicted model, not a curated record
AAGCCAUUAGGGUUUAUAACAGAUUCUUGACUCUUGAUUCCAUGAUAAGGUAAGGUUUAGGAAAUGACAUUUAAAUUACUUUGAAACUCUGAAGCGAUUAUACAGUAAUAUAUGUAAAAUAUAUUGAAUUAUUUAUGCACUUAGGUGAAAAUUGUUUAUAUUUCUUUGAUUGAUGCACAUUGAGACAUGCACCAAUAAACCAAGAAUAAUUCCUUUUUGUAAAACUUACUUGGCAAUAAAUAUCUUUCUGAUUCUGAUUAGGUUUAAAAAUAGAUAUUUAAUACAGGGUAUGAAAAAUUUAGCAGAAUAAAUUGAUGAAGUUAGACUUUUCACCAAUGCCUGACUAUCAGUGAACAGUGAAAGACAUCUGUCCCCGUUUUGACGUGAAGGAUAAACUCAAUGAAAAAGCUUUCUCCCCUGGUUUCACAGUUGCGCAGAAAUUUCGUUUGUCUGUAAUUUUUUCCAACCUCGAUUUUUUUUUUUUUUUUUUUUUUUGUUGUUAUUUUACCUUUUACAGGUAAGGGAUUCAUUUGCAAUUACGACCUGUACUAAUGUUUAAGAAAGUGUGAAAGUCCCUGUAAAGGCAAUAAAAAUUAAAUAAUCCAAACACACUAUACAUGGUAAAAAUGUAUUGCUAAAACACAUUGCACUGUGGACUGUGAAGUACUGAAUUGUGUAGUUAAACCGUUAAACAGUUUUGCACCAGUGCUGUGUUCAGGAUUCUUUUGGGCGGGGCUAAAACGGUGGCUCGAUGACGCACUGGACCCACCGAGGCAGGCCCCUCCCGUAACAAUAUGACUAGAGCACAUUCGGUUCAGUUUGCCAUUCAUGAUCAAUCAGAAUAAUUUCACAAUGCAAGGUUUAUUAGGGAAAACAUCUAGUAACAUUUAUCACUUUGUUAUUAAGUAUCUGAGAGACAUAGACUUAGACAAAAGGAUUUAAUUUUUUUUUUUUUUUUUUUUUUUUUAAGCUAAGUUCCAAUAUCUCUUGAUUCACACUCCAGCCCAGUCGGUGGCGGUAAUGCACCGUUAAGUUGGUUUGCCAACCGCCAUAAAAACAAAAAAAAAAAAAAAGAAAGAAGAAGAAAGAAGAAGAAGUUUGCCAUUCAAUCACGAGUUACAGUCAGACUCAGUACUAGUUUCAACAGCCUACAGUUAGCAAAGUCAUCGACUACCAUCGUUUAACUUCGGUUUUUGGCAAUCAAGUGUGGGAGGGACCUCAAGACAACUGUGUGGCGAAUGCUUCAGAGUAUCUUCUCUAAUCGCCUUUCCAUUAACACAACCUGGACUGGUGCAGGGGAAAAAGCAUGUUUUAGAGACAUGUUCCUGAAGACCAUUGUUCAAAGAGCCAUCCGGAAGAACU